UAGGGCUCUUCCCCGGUUUAUUCCAAUACGUCCCUCUAUUGAACCAAACCGAAAUACUUUCCCGGUCCGGUUGGGUUUACCAGGUGAUUUUCGAAUUCAAUUGGUCUUUGCCUGAUUUAAAACGUAACGUAAAUUUGAUUUGGCUCUGCUGGAAAACUAGGGGCUGAUCUACAAUAGAUUUUCAGUCUUGUUAGUGUUGUAGGAAAAAUAAACCUUUCAUGGUUUUAUUUUUUUGUGUCUUUAACCUCUUUGUUAUUGUCUUUUACAAUGUCAGAGAUCUUGAUCGUAUUUCAUAAAAAUGGUAUGAUAUUGAUAAUGAAGUUCGGAAAUACGGCUGAAAAUAGAUAAAAGUGGUUGCUCAUGCCUAUAUUGUUUAUAUUCAUUUUUUUAUCAACUAUUGUUUAUAUUCAUAUUCAUAAAAGAAUCUAGUCUGUACUGCAUGUGUUGUCCAAAAAAAAAAAAGAAAGUCUGUACUGCAUGUUAUAUCUGAAGCCAAUAUACCCUCAAAUUCUUUUCUUUUUAUCUCCAAUUCUUCUUCGUUUUAAAGAACCACCCACUCAUAUACAUCAACUUCUUCAUCUUCCCAUUCUCCCUCUUAAAAAAACUCUAAUUCCACAAUUUACAAGAAGUCAAGAGAUUGUUCAUUUGUCACUUCCAAUAGUAAAGAGUAAUACUAUUUGGACAAACUUAACCAGAAAGAACAUUUGAACGUCCAAAUCACUAAGGGUCACAUACCAGAUUUUGACUCUUU
Molecule: long non-coding RNA, 751 nt
Filed under: Brassica rapa (field mustard)
Lineage: Eukaryota; Viridiplantae; Streptophyta; Magnoliopsida; Brassicales; Brassicaceae
Description: long non-coding RNA (BRAP_LNC002325)
Source: RNAcentral